Molecule: long non-coding RNA, 230 nt
Filed under: Gallus gallus (chicken)
Lineage: Eukaryota; Metazoa; Chordata; Aves; Galliformes; Phasianidae
Source: RNAcentral
GAAGUUAUACGUGCUUAGAUCUUGACCAUUGUCAUCUGAUGAUACAUCAUCUAUGUGGAUCUGGUCACAGUCCUCCAGGUCAUUAAAGAACAGAUGUGUAUCUGCAAGGUUGAAGAUCAUUUCUUCCAUCAUAAGACCUAUCCGCACAGACGUUGUCGUGUCCUUCCCAUAUCUGGAUGCAAAGGUUCCCGUGAGUAAGGAGUGAAAAAUAAUUAUCGUCUCAUCCAAAU